UGUGUUGCUGUGAAAAUGUCGAUGGACGUGUUUUGGGGUAUUUCUAAUUUAAAUAAAGCGAAUUAAAACCGUGGAUUUUUUAAUAAGUGUAAAACUAACAGAGAAGAGACGGUAACGGGACAGAUGCAGAAACCAGAAGGCUGUUGGUAACAGAAGAGGAGUUUAUUUACAUGUGUGCUCUCACAUAUACACCACCUUUACAUGGAUAUUAUAUUAUGGGAAAUAGCAAAGUGCGCUUAUACCUUUGCAUUAUUUGUAUUUUUCGAACUGUUGUUGGAGCUGGGAUCUUCUUUCCUAAAGGCCAGGGAGGAUUACGCAUGAGCGUGAUUUGGUUAUUGCGAUGCACUGCGCAGUUUCCAGCGUUGUUUCCAACGUUACCCGGAAAUAAGCAACCUCUCUCAGCUGUUUCCUUAUAAAACAGCAGAGUGGGGAGGGGGUGUGCUUUUGGAUCAUUGUGUCGGAGUCAGAGAGAGGACAGAGCAGCGGAGCAGGAGGAUGGAGAGGAGUGAGUGUGUGUGUGUGUGCGUGCGUGUGUGUGUGUGUGUGUGUGUGUGUGUGUGUGUGUGUGUGUGUGUGUGUGUGUGUGUGUGUGUGUGUUCUGCAGGAGGAUGUUGCGCACUUCACUUUUUUCCUCAGCAGUGAGUUGUGUUUGCAUCCAUCUGCUGCUGCGUGAGGAUCCAACGCAUGUGCGGCAUGUUGUUAGAGGGUAGGUUUCAGAUAGUUAGGUACGUUAUUGAUCCUGAAUUGGGAAAUUCUCGAAGUCUACUUUACUCUUUUUAUUACAGGUUGUGCACUUCACUUUUCCUCAGCAGUAGGUAUCUAGUCUUUCCAGGUGCUGCUAAUUUGAUGCAAGUUAUUUUUGUAAUGACUUGCGUACUUCACUUUUCCUCAGCAGUGAGUAGUGUUUGCAUCCCUGUGCUGCUGCGUGGUGGUUUAAUGCAUGUGUUGCAUGUUGUUAUUGUGUAUAGCCAUAGUCAUUUUUUAUCAUCAUAAAAAAAAUGUAUCCCUUAACUUCAUGUUGCACAGGACAGGGAUACUACUUUGAACUGUAUUGUUGUUACUUUUUCUAUCUUUACCUAGCAGCCACAGUCGCCCAAAUUGGGGACUACUUACAGGAUUAAUAGACAAUAUCACGUAGACAUAGGUCCUGAAUUUCCUUUUUGGUUUCCAUGGAGGCUACUUUCUUUAUUCUAAAUAUGUGUUUCCUUAAACGCAGCAGAGGAACACCUGGCUUAUCUACGUGCGUUCCUAUCGCACUUGUGGGAGUGUGAAAUGCUGUGUCAUGUUGUCCUAUUUCUAGCUCAGCAUACUGUAUUUAAAUCAUAAGAUAUGUAAAGUUAUUUUUUGCAAUAUUCACAUUUUGCUGCAUGUGUUCCUUAAGGUAACAUGAUGUUUUCCCCGGGUUUCAGUGCCAGAAAUGUGUGUCUUUGUGUCUAAAAAGUAUUAUAUGAUGUUCUUCAUGAUAUUCAUUUAGUAGUGCGUACACCUGCUGACUGGUUUCUGCCAGAGCUACUUCCAUCCAGAGGUUUCUAUCAUACGCACUUUUUAUUUCUGAUGUAAACAAACCCUCCAGCUGCAGUACCGUCUCUGAACACAGGGGGUCGGGCAGCUGCAGUACCCGCUCUGGACACAGAGGGGCGGGAUUGUGCAGAAGGAGAACAUGCAUCGGUAAUACAAACAAAGAUGGCUGCAGUCUGUUGACCAAUCGAUGAUCUGACGGCUUCAGAGGCUCCUCGGUGAGGUUUACGUUACAGAUGAAGACCCUCUGAAGGAGUGACUGAAGCGUAACACACCCUCGCCCUCCUCACCUUACCUGGGAGCAGCAGAGAGAGAGAGGACUGCAGGUGAGUCUGAAGACAGGUAGCAGCAGUUUAAUUCAGAUUUGAGGACGUCACCGCCGGAGGCCCCUCCUCAGACUGGCCCCCCUUGGAGGCUGGUUUCAGGUGGUGGCUUAGAGUCUCUUCAUCUGUCUAGCACCAUUUGAAAUCAGUGUUCUUGGGGCGGGGAGUGUGUUUCUGUGUGGAGGAGUCCGGACCCCAGAGUCAGAUGUUCAGUGUCCUCUCUCCGAGGGUGACCGCUUUCUGCUGGUGCUCAGAGUCUGUCUGCGUCUAGCACCAUCUGAACGUGGUUACAGGGAAGGACAGACCUCACCCCCCCUCCAGCAGGACUCACAAAGUCAGGAGGCCCCUCCUCAGACCGACCCCCCUUGGAGGCUGGUUUCAGGUGGUGGCUUAGAGUCUCUUCAUCUGUCUAGCACCAUUUGAAAUCAGUGUUCUUGGGGUGGGGAGUGUGUUUCUGUGUGGAGGAGUCCGGACCCCAGAGUCAGAUGUUCAGUGUCCUCUCUCCGAGGGUGACCGCUUUCUGCUGGUGCUCAGAGUCUGUCUGCGUCUAGCACCAUCUGAACGUGGUUACAGGGAAGGACAGACCUCACCCCCCCCCCCUCCAGCAGGACUCACAAAGUCAGGAGGCCCCUCCUCAGACUGGCCCCCCUUGGAGGCUGGUUUCAGGUGGUGGCUUAGAGUCUCUUCAUCUGUCUAGCACCAUUUGAAAUCAGUGUUCUUGGCGUGGGGAGUGUGUUUCUGUGUGGAGGAGUCCGGACCCCAGAGUCAGAUGUUCAGUGUCCUCUCUCCGAGGGUGACCGCUUUCUGCUGGUGCUCAGAGUCUGUCUGCGUCUAGCACCAUCUGAACGUGGUUACAGGGAAGGACAGACCUCACCCCCCCCUCCAGCAGGAUACUGUAAUACUGUAGUUUAAAUAAAGUCAGACUGGAGCACUGCUUUGUGCAGCUGUCAAAGUAUUUGGAAAAAUUGAAUCGAGUCGAUCAUCUUCUGUAAUUCGCUCUAUUUUAAUGAACCGUACUUUAUUAUACGUCUUAUUUCAUGUUGACAUGUCAGAGUCUAUCUGCUGGGGAAGUCUUUAAAUGCUGCUGUUGUUGUUGUUGUUGUUGUUGUUUGCAGUGGUAAACAAACAUGUGUUAAGAUAAACUUCCAAACUGAUCUGUGUACUUGUACAUGUUAUAUUUAAAUGUGAGAAUAUUCAUUGUUGUUUGACUGUCAAAUGAAUCUGUUUUAAAAUAAAUGUUCAGAAACUG
Molecule: long non-coding RNA, 3090 nt
Organism: Eleginops maclovinus (Patagonian blennie)
Lineage: Eukaryota; Metazoa; Chordata; Actinopteri; Perciformes; Eleginopidae
Exons: 7
Source: RefSeq, a predicted model, not a curated record